UGGGGAAUUUUGGACAAUGGGCGCAAGCCUGAUCCAGCAAUGCCGCGUGCAGGAUGAAGGCCUUCGGGUUGUAAACUGCUUUUGUACGGAGCGAAAAGGUCUGCCCUAAUACGGUGGGCUCAUGACGGUACCGUAAGAAUAAGCACCGGCUAACUACGUGCCAGCAGCCGCGGUAAUACGUAGGGUGCGAGCGUUAAUCGGAAUUACUGGGCGUAAAGCGUGCGCAGGCGGUUAUAUAAGACAGGUGUGAAAUCCCCGGGCUCAACCUGGGACCUGCAUUUGUGACUGUAUAGCUAGAGUACAGUAGAGGGGGAUGGAAUUCCGCGUGUAGCAGUGAAAUGCGUAGAUAUGCGGAGGAACACCGAUGGCGAAGGCAAUCCCCUGGACCUGUACUGACGCUCAUGCACGAAAGCGUGGGGAGCAAACA
RNAcentral lists this ribosomal RNA (427 nucleotides) under uncultured bacterium. RNAcentral describes it as "bacterial SSU rRNA". It matches the Rfam family "Bacterial small subunit ribosomal RNA", at positions 355 to 774 of the family's 1533-position model. The record is from RNAcentral.